GUCCCUGUAGCACAAUGGACAGGGCGUUGGAUUUCUAAUCCAAAGGGCGUGGGUUCCAAUCCCAUCUUGGACG
Non-coding RNA from Trichonephila clavata, 73 nucleotides. The record is from the annotation of a GenBank genome assembly. Lineage: Eukaryota; Metazoa; Arthropoda; Arachnida; Araneae; Nephilidae.